Homarus americanus (American lobster) is the source of this 1058-nucleotide long non-coding RNA. RefSeq lists it as uncharacterized. Lineage: Eukaryota; Metazoa; Arthropoda; Malacostraca; Decapoda; Nephropidae. The record is from RefSeq and is a predicted model, not a curated record. The transcript is spliced from 3 exons.
GUGUGGCAGCUGUUUGGGAGGGGAAGUGAGGCGCCUUAAGAGUUAGUCAGGGUGUUUAGUGACAGCCAGUGAGUGGUGUUCCUCCCCUCACAGUGUGUGUGUGUGUGUCUUGUCCUCAUCAGUUCUUGCAGUCUUACUACUUUAAGCAAUAUUUGUAGAUAUUCUCCGUGCAGUGUAAGAGGUGGUCGUGACGUCCAGUACCAAGGUGAAGUGACGUCAAGUAACAUGUGGCGACACAGCCUGGUGGUGUUGUUGCUGUGGGCGGUGCUCGUUCAGUCAACAAGUAGCGGAGACUGCUCUGGACCAUGCAAACGCCGAGACUCGAAUGGACAGUGCAGGACCAUGUUUUCCUGCCAGUCGCAGACUGGUGAAGGGCCCCGAGAUAGCCCUUCUAUCUUCAACAUCCCCUGUAGUAGGCGUUGCUACUCUUUGGUCCGAGGCCGCUGUCGUCUCAAGUUUUCGUGCCUACUUGGUUAACCUGACUAUACUGUACACAUUCCUUCCUGAAAGGUGGCUUGGGCUUGGGUGCACGCCCCUCUUGCACUUUACGCUAUAAGGUUCCACCUAAAUAUUACUUAAUUAAAGGAAGUUAGAAGCUUAUUUGUUUGACUAUAGGAAGUCAAAAAGUGUGGAGCGUAAUUUGUAUUUGUCAAGCCAAAGCUCCUUCACGUAGUAUUCACACAGGUAUUGCAGCUGCUGCUAAUUUUGUAAGCUGGGGUGAUGUUAAAUUGCAAUAUUGAGUGCUGGGUGCUGCUAAAUUGGUAGUGUUACGUACACAUUUCUCAAAAUUAAAUGAGUUCUUCCCUUAAUACUUUCACUGCGAUAGUUUGGUGAAAGUUUACAUUAUAUAAAUUAGUGUUUAAACUAAAGUAAUGUACUGCUUUAGUACAACAGAUGAUGAAGACGUACUACUGUAAAAUACUCCUCACUAUUAACGUAUGGGUGAAGUGUUGAGUGAGUGAGCUAUAGUGUGAGUGAAGUGUUGUGUGAGUGAGCUAUAGUGUGAGUGAAGUGUUGUGUGAGUGAGCUGUAGUGUGAGUGAAGUGUUGUGUGAGUGA